RNAcentral lists this long non-coding RNA (498 nucleotides) under Elaeis guineensis (African oil palm). RNAcentral describes it as "long non-coding RNA (EGUI_LNC060075)". The record is from RNAcentral. Lineage: Eukaryota; Viridiplantae; Streptophyta; Magnoliopsida; Arecales; Arecaceae.
UAUAGUAAUGAGACAUGUUGUGAUCUCAUCGUCGACAUCAUCGAAACUCUUUUUGAUGGACCAGAACUCUUUUGAUUCAGACAAUUAGAAUGAUCGAUCAUCAAGAUCAUUCUAAUUGCUCUGAAAAUCCAUCAGUGACACCUAGCAGUAUAUGAUGGCAACCCAUCAGAAAUGAAGAUGAACCUCUCGGUGCAGCUACUUGUGUGAUUGAGUUCCUCUAUCAUGAGUCCCGACUGAAUUAGGGUUAAGGUGAACUCAUCAAACCCAACAUCAGUCAUAUGAACCAAUCGAUUGAUUUGAGUCCGAUGUGAAACCCCAAUGAAAAUCUCUUUUCUAUUAUUUCACUCUGCCAUGGCCAUGGGCUUAAGGACACGAUCUUUCGAUCAUCAUAGGACUACUCUCAUCUACCGAAGUUGAUAGAUCUCAUCUUGGUGCAAUCUGAUUCCUAUAAUGAAUAUGCUACAGCCAACAUACACCUCAAGGUUUCGAAUGGCUAGG